Molecule: unclassified non-coding RNA, 200 nt
Filed under: soil metagenome
Description: partial contains internal transcribed spacer 2 and large subunit ribosomal RNA
Source: RNAcentral
CAUUAAUAGACCAUCAAGCACAGCUUGGCAUUGGGCACUCGUCCCCGCAGCGGACGUGCCCCAAAGACCUCGGCGGUGAAGCGUCGGCCUCAAGCGUAGUAGAAUCCUAUCCCGCUUACAGAGGACGCGUGUCACCCGCUCCUAAAACCCCCAACCUAAAGGUUGACCUCGGAUCAGGUAGGGAUACCCGCUGAACUUAA